UCUGCUUUAUCUUUCAGCUACCAUUUCGCAACCUCUCCAGAGCUUUCUGACUUAUGAGUUUUUCUCAGAUCUAUCCGUUCUCGCUACUCCUCUUCAAUUUAUCUCUCCCGAUCUGAAUAGAUCGUUCGAUGAUCUAUAGAUUGACUAUGGCAUCGAGCAGUUUUGAGGAUUGGUCCGGCUUAUGUCGAAUUUUCUAUUUGACUUAUAAGCCGGCGGAUGUCCGAUCGGAUUUGAUGUAUUUUUGGGAGAUUGAUUGAGAGGCUGGUCGUUAUUUUAAUUGGGUUCGAAGUAUUUGGGACGGAAAUUCGAAAGAUUUUCUAAGGCUCGUGACAAUUAAGAUUUUGGUUGAGCUUGUCAAGAAGAUUGGGCUGUGAUGAAUGGUAAGCUACGAAAGGUCUACGAGAUCUGUUAGAUCGGUUCGGACCUUUAAGAUCCGAGAAGUCAGAAGUACGAAGAUGAUUGAUCGGAAAGGGAGCUUCUGCAUGGGGUAACGAAGCCUAUGAUCAAUUAAACGGAGGUUUAGUUAUCUGAUCCACCGGUUGUUUAAUUCUAGUUAAUUUAAUUAUUGAUAAUUUGCAUGGUGAAUUAGAUGGCAUGUGUUUCUACAUGUAUUGAAGUCAGUGAAGAAAUAUAUCGAAGAAUCAGGAGAGAGAGAGCGGAAAAAAAUGUGACGAGUUCAUGUCCAUGCCGACCUUUGCCAUGUUGGGUGCGCUCGCAUGGCAGGUCAAAAGAUGCCUAAUAAAAAUUUACUUUUUGGUGUUUGAGGGAAGAUGGCACGGGGUUUUGCCCGGCUCUUCCCUCCUGUGUGCGCGUGUCCUGUUGUUUAUAUUUUGUUUCUUUAUUUCCUUGUGAACUCCCGCCUGCGAUCCUUCAAAAGUGGUGGCUUGAUUCGUUCCUUGAAUGGUAUGAUGCUUUUAAUCGAACCCAUUCAAGGCGGAGCAAGACCACCUUGAGCAAAUGGUUGCAUCUCAGCAAGCUAGGAUAUGUCUCCAGAUCCACAGCACUCACUCCAAAAGGUACUCCAAUUAAUGUUUUCCGUCCGUUUUUUACCUCGCAAUCCCAUCUAUGCGGUAUCUAAGCAUUACGUUACUCUUAUACCUUUAUCCCCUUAUCUAGCAAUUUAACUAAGCAGUUAAAUGUCGAUUAGAACCGUUUUAAUUUUGUUAAAUGAAGUGAAAACUAAAUAUCAACUAUCUAAGUUUGCCUUCAUUUUCCACAUAAAAGAUUGUAUUGUUAAUAUGUUAUUUCUAGUUUGCAAGUUUGCAGUUACUAUGUUUUAAACAAGGAUUCUGCAGUGAAGGCUUUAUAAUUUUUUUGGAAGAAGAGUGAACAAUAAUUUCUAACUAAAAUUGGUUGUCAUUUUCUACACACAAGAUUAUACUGUUAAUAUGUAAUCUUUACUUUUGUUAUAAUAACGAAGAAUUCGGCAGUCAAUCUUCAUUUUGCUAUGAACUAUUGACGGUUGAAUCUGGUUGCGGUACAUGUCUUGAAUCGGAUAACCUGUCAUUUUCAUAUCAGGAAAUGGAAAUUUUCUCCUGCACAAUUUACCAAUAGCUUCGUGCUGCAAUAUUGCCUGUAAGAACUUUAAUUAUUGGUCUAACUAUAGAUUAAAAAGAACUGAAAAUUGAAACGACUAUUCAGGUAUCUAUUUCUGUUAAAGAUAGAAGGCAGAGCCCCGAUUGGUCCAAGUGCCUUUCACUUUUUCAUUGUUUACCAUACAGAUUCCUCUCUUGAGAGAUGGUAACUCGCCUCAGCUCUCAUAGUUAUCGUGACUAACGAAGACUAACAAGGAUUCAUGCAUGAAAUAAUUUCGUAAUUUUCACUUUGAAAAUCUAAAUGUAAUAUGUACUGGAUUGCUUUCUGCCAAAAACGAAUAUUUUUGUUAAUUGCACUUACCUUGGGAGUACGAAGGCCCAAGAUCACUAGUAGAUUUUAUGUUGAAGAAUUAUGUUCAAAUUAACGUUAAGGAGUUUAAUUCAAGGCAAUUAAUGUACGCUUAGGGAGUGAUCACUGACGCCAGUAAUUGUGACUCAUUUUUAACACAGCAGAUUCUUAACUUGCCUUUGAGAAUGAUUAUUUUCUCUCCUUUUAAUGCUGUCUUACUUUGGAGUAAUUCAAUAAUGUCUUUAGAUUUUAUGUAACGGUAGGGCAGAUCAGUUGAUAUUUACAUGCUCUGGGACAUUGUUGUCGUUAAGUGAGCAUGUUGAAUGGUCUGACACUGUCAUCGUUGCAUAUUGUAUUUGUAGAUGAAUUUUAUGUAGGAAUUGGGCAUUUAGCAUGUAUAAUGGGUUGGUGAUAUUGCCGGUGCUGGAUACAGAGUUUUCCAAUGUAUGUGCGAAAUCACAGGAUUACAGGAAGUUUACUUGCUUAUUGUGGAAUAUAAGCUUUAAAUUUUGCGUGAAUGGUGCUGUUUCAAAAUAUGAGGAUCGAGUUGCUGAUCAGAGACUGAAGACUGAGAAAAGGAGGGGUUGCAGUGGAGGAAUUCAAUGUUGGUAGAUUCUGGAUGAUGCUGCUGAACGAGAGACCAAUCCAUACCAUCAAGGACGCCUUGCAGAAGAUUGCCUAAUAACCGUGGGGAAAGGCUUACGGGGAAAAAUUUGCAUAAUGGUUGGAUUGCAGUCAACUCGUAGGCCAUUCCUUCUAAAUUUGUUGGGGGGCAUUCAGCGUUUUCCCAGGUGCUACAUGCUUUCCCCUCGUAUGGUAAAGCAGGCUAUGUGAAGCUGUCAUCUUGAUUCUGCUUCCUUGCUGCUGCAUGUUGUGCUUCAUGCUGAGAUACAAAUACACUAAAUUGUUGGUUUUCUAUUGAGGUUCCCCUGGUACUUUACAUCAAAGCUGAAAAGGAUUCCUACAAAAAUAAUGUAGGGUUACUGUGCUGGAGACAAUCUCAUAUUUUCACAUUUUGUCAUGCUGAAGUCCCGUGUGUUUCUCAAUUGUGUAUCUUCCCGAGUGAUCAAGGUUGUAUAGAUGUCACUAUCAAGUCAACGAUUCCCAAAUGUUUAUCUACGGCAAGCGAUCAAGGUAUAGAUGGCACUUUUCAAGUUCUCGAAUGUUUAAUGCUCGCAGUAGGUGCCAUUUUUUUUUUAAUUCUCUUGGUGAUGUUUAAUCUCCUCUCCUACUUGUUUCAGUAAUCUGUUUUUAAAGAGUUCUGGUAGAAGGCAGAUUUUUCUGUUUG
Molecule: long non-coding RNA, 3172 nt
Organism: Coffea eugenioides
Lineage: Eukaryota; Viridiplantae; Streptophyta; Magnoliopsida; Gentianales; Rubiaceae
Exons: 3
Source: RefSeq, a predicted model, not a curated record